AGCGGCGGACGGGUGAGUAACGCGUAGGAAUCUACCUGGUAGUGGGGGACAACUUGGGGAAACUCAAGCUAAUACCGCAUACGCCCUAUGGGGGAAAGCGGGGGACCUUCGGGCCUCGCGCUAUCAGAUGAGCCUGCGUAGGAUUAGCUAGUUGGUGAGGUAAAGGCUCACCAAGGCGACGAUCCUUAGCUGGUCUGAGAGGAUGAUCAGCCACACUGGGACUGAGACACGGCCCAGACUCCUACGGGAGGCAGCAGUGGGGAAUAUUGCGCAAUGGGGGCAACCCUGACGCAGCCAUGCCGCGUGUGUGAAGAAGGCCUUCGGGUUGUAAAGCACUUUAAGUGGGGAGAAAAGGGUAGCGGUUAAUAGCCGUUACCUGUGAUGUUACCCACAGAAUAAGCACCGGCUAACUCCGUGCCAGCAGCCGCGGUAAUACGGAGGGUGCGAGCGUUAAUCGGAAUUACUGGGCGUAAAGCGCGCGUAGGUGGUUUGUUAAGUCAGCUGUGAAAGCCCCGGGCUCAACCUGGGAACUGCAGUUGAUACUGGCCGACUAGAGUACGAGAGAGGGGGGUAGAAUUCCAUGUGUAGCGGUGAAAUGCGUAGAUAUAUGGAGGAAUACCGGUGGCGAAGGCGGCCUCCUGGCUCGAUACUGACGCUGAGGUGCGAAAGCGUGGGGAUCAAACAGGAUUAGAUACCCUGGUAGUCCACGCCGUAAACGAUGUCUACUAGC
Molecule: ribosomal RNA, 730 nt
Filed under: uncultured bacterium
Lineage: Bacteria
Description: bacterial SSU rRNA
Rfam family: Bacterial small subunit ribosomal RNA
Source: RNAcentral